UACAGAGGGGGCAAGCGUUGUUCGGAAUUACUGGGCGUAAAGGGCGCGUGGGCGGCCUUCUAAGUCGAACGUGAAAUCCCCGGGCUCAACCCGGGAACUGCGUCCGAUACUGGCAGGCUUGAAUCCGGGAGAGGGAUGUGGAAUUCCAGGUGUAGCGGUGAAAUGCGUAGAUAUCUGGAGGAACACCGGUGGCGAAGGCGGCAUCCUGGACCGGUAUUGACGCUGAUGCGCGAAAGCCAGGGGAGCAAACGGG
Molecule: ribosomal RNA, 253 nt
Filed under: uncultured bacterium
Lineage: Bacteria
Description: partial 16S ribosomal RNA
Rfam family: Bacterial small subunit ribosomal RNA
Source: RNAcentral